This 253-nucleotide ribosomal RNA is filed under the name uncultured bacterium. Its description in RNAcentral is "partial 16S ribosomal RNA". It matches the Rfam family "Bacterial small subunit ribosomal RNA", at positions 524 to 776 of the family's 1533-position model. The record is from RNAcentral.
UACAGGGGGUGCAAACGUUGCUCGGAAUCAUUGGGCGUAAAGCGCACGUAGGCGGUUCGUUAUGUCGGAUGUGAAAGCCCUUGGCUUAACCGAGGAAGUGCAUCCGAAACUGGCGAGCUAGAGUACUAAAGAGGAUUGCGGAAUUCCCGGUGUAGAGGUGAAAUUCGUAGAUAUCGGGAGGAACACCGGUGGCGAAGGCGGCGAUCUGGGUAGAUACUGACGCUGAGGUGCGAAAGCGUGGGGAGCAAACAGG